GUGCAGCAGUCGCGAAACCUCCGCAAUGCUCGAAAGAGCGACGGGGGGACUCCAAGUGCCUACGCUCAGCGUAGGCUGUUCCCGAGCCUAAAAAGCUCGGGGAGUAAGGGCUGGGUAAGACGGGUGCCAGCCGCCGCGGUAAUACCCGCAGCCCGAGUGGUGGCCGCUAUUAUUGGGCCUAAAGCGUCCGUAGCCGGCUCGGUAAAUGCCUGGGUAAAUCGUCUGGCCCAACCAGACGAAUUCCGGGUAGACUGCCGGGCUAGGGACCGGAGGAGGGAGAGGGGUACUCCAGGGGUAGGGGUGAAAUCAGCAAGGUGAGUUGCUGAUGUAACUUGCCUUGCAAGUCACAAUCCUGUAAUCCCUGGAGGACCACCGGUGGCGAAGGCGCUCUCCUAGGACGGGUCCGACGGUGAGGGGACGAAAGCCAGGGGAGCAAACCGGAUUAGAUACCCGCGUAGU
Molecule: ribosomal RNA, 459 nt
Filed under: uncultured microorganism
Description: bacterial SSU rRNA
Rfam family: Archaeal small subunit ribosomal RNA
Source: RNAcentral